Molecule: unclassified non-coding RNA, 187 nt
Filed under: uncultured Exophiala
Lineage: Eukaryota; Fungi; Ascomycota; Eurotiomycetes; Chaetothyriales; Herpotrichiellaceae
Description: sequence contains ITS2
Source: RNAcentral
UCACCCCUCAAGGCCCCCGGGCUUUUGGCGUUGGAGGUCUUGGUCGCGCGCUCGCGACCCCUCCCAAAGACAAUGACGGCGGCUUCGCGGAACCCCCGGUACACUGAGCUCCUUAAUCAGGGCACGUAUCGGAUCUAGGGCGCCCGAGCCACGGUCCUCUCCCCUCGGGGAAACCCAUUUUUCAAGG